CUGAGCUCAAUAUGAUCUGCCAAUCUUGCAAUUUGGAUCUUGUAGCCUCAUCUCUGAUCAGGUAGUUAAGCAGAUGAACAAUGCUCUGAAUGAUCUGCGUGAACACUCGCAAACUUCAGUUCUAUGCUCUAGCAAUUGCAUUCUAUUAUGGAACUCACUACCCUGUAAUAAUAAUCAUGAUACUCUUUCCAGGAUACGUACUUUAAAGAAGCAUGAUAUGUCCCAUUUCCAUCCCUCUUCUUCCUGUCGCGUGCCACGUAACAUCUUUUUCAGUGCACUGAAGAGAAACGACCACCAGCAAGUCUUCAAUCUCCCUGUCUGCAUUGUCAAGAAAGAUGACACCAGAUGAGCAGAUGCAGUUGUGAUUGGAUUCAGUUCCCCGGAGAAUCUACCCACCAUAGGCUGUCUUUCGAAUUACCGCAUAAAUCCAGCAUCAACUCAUCUUCCAGCCAUUUCCACUGCAUGUAAAAUUGAAGGCUUGGUUGCAUGGUGACUGAACAAGCCCCUCAUUGAUUCUUGUGCAGCUGCAAUCUCUCUCAACCACUUGAAUAUAUUGAAAGGCAUAUCAGCAUAAUAACUGAUGAAGAGGAAAGGAAAUGUGUGUGGGGUUUCAUUCUUUUACUCCCCUGCAUAUAAGCCAACAACAUCCGCAUCUUUAGGUUGGUCAGAUGGGAAACGACAAGAAUAGCGGUGCAGUAUGGCUGCUUGUCUGCCCAACAAUCUACCACUCUCUAUGGUGGUUUGCUGGAUCUGCACAUAUAUGUUUUAGGUGAAGUAGGAGUGUGCACAUGUUGAUAAUGGCCCUUGAGUACAUAUGGUCAGCAACGCACAUCUUGGAGUGAUCUCAAUGGCAAGAUGUUCUGCAGAACAGAAAGAUUCCAAAGUAUUAUAUAGUUGGGUUUCCUUCAAGAAACACAAAGAAGUUGUGUAUAUGGUCAAGCUGUGGCCAACCUGGCCACUUUCCUCUUUUGCAAUGCCUUUGAGAUAAGAGACCAUCUGCUAGCUUUGCCUUGCGGCGUCGGCAUGGACAAGAAUUUGAAGAUGGACUGGAGAAGGG
Non-coding RNA from Musa acuminata subsp. malaccensis (wild Malaysian banana), 1057 nucleotides. NCBI's taxonomy places the organism in Eukaryota, Viridiplantae, Streptophyta, Magnoliopsida, Zingiberales, Musaceae. The record is from RefSeq and is a predicted model, not a curated record.